Molecule: ribosomal RNA, 442 nt
Filed under: uncultured bacterium
Lineage: Bacteria
Description: partial 16S ribosomal RNA
Rfam family: Bacterial small subunit ribosomal RNA
Source: RNAcentral
CCUACGGGGGGCAGCAGUGGGGAAUAUUGCGCAAUGGGCGAAAGCCUGACGCAGCGACGCCGCGUGAGGGAUGAAGGCCUUCGGGUUGUAAACUGCUUUUAUAAGCGAGAAAUAUGAUGGUAACUUAUGAAUAAGGAUCGGCUAACUACGUGCCAGCAGCCGCGGUCAUACGUAGGAUCCGAGCAUUAUCCGGAGUGACUGGGUGUAAAGAGUUGCGUAGGUGGCAUAAUAAGUAGCUAGUGAAAUCUGGUGGCUCAACCAUUCAGACUAUUAGCUAAACUGUUAAGCUCGAGACCGUUAGGGGCAUCUGGAAUUUCUAGUGUAGGAGUGAAAUCCGUAGAUAUUAGAAGGAACACCAAUAGCGUAGGCAGGAUGCUGGGACGGUUCUGACACUAAGGCACGAAAGCGUAGGGAGCAAACGGGAUUAGAUACCCCAGUAGUC